Apis mellifera (honey bee) is the source of this 546-nucleotide long non-coding RNA. RefSeq lists it as uncharacterized. The transcript has 2 exons. The record is from RefSeq and is a predicted model, not a curated record. NCBI's taxonomy places the organism in Eukaryota, Metazoa, Arthropoda, Insecta, Hymenoptera, Apidae.
AAAAUAGGUAAAUCACUAAUGUUUGAACGCUUUAAGUUUUUCUAGGGAAAAACACCACCUUAAUUUUUACAAGUUUCCGUACCCACGUUUUUGACACACGGGUGCUCACAGACACCAACCGGUCACUGCAAGCGCCGCCGGUACAAGCCAGCCCCUCUUUACCCCCACCAUCAAUUGUAGAACGUUUUCAGGGACGACAUUUUUAAGAUGCUUGAUAAUUAUUAAAUUGAGAAUAUAUCAAUGAAGUUUAACGAGAUUUCAUAAUAUUGCUUAAUUUUAUAAAGUGUUUUAUGAUUGGUGGAUUAUAUAUGAUUUCGAGAAUCGAAAUUUGGAAUAAUUGGAUAUCGAAACAAUAGAUUUCUACCAAUAAAAUUAUUUACUUUUAUAUAGCAACUUUCGAUUGGUUAUCAAGAUUUAUCCUUUUGAAUUUUACGAUUUAAAAUCAUCCAUCUUUUUAAACGAUCAUUUUCGUUAUGUGCUUCAUAAAGUAAAAAACUGAUUUAGAGAAGAUUUUAUUGAGAAAUAAUAAAAGAAGACAAAAUGCAA